AGGCCCGUAGCUCUAAUUGGUAGAGCGCCGGUCUCCAAAACCGGAGGAUGUGGGUUCGAAUCCCGCCGGGCCUGCCA
This 77-nucleotide transfer RNA is filed under the name Armatimonadota bacterium. RNAcentral's name for it is "tRNA-Trp". It matches the Rfam family "tRNA". From Rfam's summary of the family: Transfer RNA (tRNA) molecules are approximately 80 nucleotides in length. Their secondary structure includes four short double-helical elements and three loops (D, anti-codon, and T loops). The record is from RNAcentral. Lineage: Bacteria; Bacillati; Armatimonadota.